UCAUCAGGUAGAAUAAUCCUUACCUGUAUCUCUAUUCAGAGGGCAGAUAGAACAUGAUGUUUGGAGUUGUAUGAUUUGUGAGUAAUGUCUCUGUAUGAUUAGAGCUCGAAAUACCCUAAUUGCUCCUAAUUUUU
Molecule: small nucleolar RNA, 134 nt
Organism: Sorex araneus (European shrew)
Lineage: Eukaryota; Metazoa; Chordata; Mammalia; Eulipotyphla; Soricidae
Gene: U8
Rfam family: U8 small nucleolar RNA
About the family: U8 is a member of the C/D class of snoRNA which contain the C (UGAUGA) and D (CUGA) box motifs.
Source: Ensembl